GGUGGUGAAUAUGGUAGAGGAAAAGGGAUCGAGGAAGUGGCGUAGGGUGGGGAUAAGUGGCAGAGAAAAUGUAAGAGAAACAAAGAGAUGGACAGUGACGGUGGAGAGAGAAAAUGGAAAUUGUUGAGAGAGAAAAAGGAUUAUGAUUUUGGGGAAGAGAGAAGAGAGAUUGUAAUUUAGAGAAAGAGAGGAGAGGGAUUUUGAUUUAGAAUGGGAGAAUGAAAUGAAGGUGGGAGAG
Molecule: long non-coding RNA, 238 nt
Filed under: Lupinus angustifolius (narrow-leaved blue lupine)
Lineage: Eukaryota; Viridiplantae; Streptophyta; Magnoliopsida; Fabales; Fabaceae
Description: long non-coding RNA (LANG_LNC003407)
Source: RNAcentral